CCUUUUGUAUAAUGGGUCAGCGACUUAUAUUCUGUAGCAAGGUUAACCGAAUAGGGGAGCCGAAGGGAAACCGAGUCUUAACUGGGCGUUAAGUUGCAGGGUAUAGACCCGAAACCCGGUGAUCUAGCCAUGGGCAGGUUGAAGGUUGGGUAACACUAACUGGAGGACCGAACCGACUAAUGUUGAAAAAUUAGCGGAUGACUUGUGGCUGGGGGUGAAAGGCCAAUCAAACCGGGAGAUAGCUGGUUCUCCCCGAAAGCUAUUUAGGUAGCGCCUCGUGAAUUCAUCUCCGGGGGUAGAGCACUGUUUCGGCAAGGGGGUCAUCCCGACUUACCAACCCGAUGCAAACUGCGAAUACCGGAGAAUGUUAUCACGGGAGACACACGGCGGGUGCUAACGUCCGUCGUGAAGAGGGAAACAACCCAGACCGCCAGCUAAGGUCCCAAAGUCAUGGUUAAGUGGGAAACGAUGUGGGAAGGCCCAGACAGCCAGGAUGUUGGCUUAGAAGCAGCCAUCAUUUAAAGAAAGCGUAAUAGCUCACUGGUCGAGUCGGCCUGCGCGGAAGAUGUAACGGGGCUAAACCAUGCACCGAAGCUGCGGCAGCGACGCUGAUGCGUUGUUGGGUAGGGGAGCGUUCUGUAAGCCUGCG
Molecule: ribosomal RNA, 649 nt
Filed under: Escherichia coli
Lineage: Bacteria; Pseudomonadati; Pseudomonadota; Gammaproteobacteria; Enterobacterales; Enterobacteriaceae
Description: partial 23S ribosomal RNA
Rfam family: Bacterial large subunit ribosomal RNA
Source: RNAcentral